UUGGAGGGCAAGUCUGGUGCCAGCAGCCGCGGUGAUUCCAGCUCCAAUAGCGUAUAUUAAAGUUGUUGCAGUUAAAAAGCUCGUAGUUGAACUUCGGGGUUUACCCAUUGGUCAGGCUUAAUUGUCUGUACUGGUGAGAUAAAUCUCUACCUUCUGAGGAACUUUCAUGCCAUUUAGUUGGUGUGAUAGGAAAUCAGGACUGUUACUUUGAAAAAAUUAGAGUGUUUAAAGCAGGCUAACGUCUGAAUACAUUAGCAUGGAAUAAUGAAAUAGGACGGAUUGGUUCUAUUUCGUUGGUUUCUGGGAUCACCGUAAUGAUUAAUAGGGAUAGUUGGGGGCAUUAGUAUUCAAUUGUCAGAGGUGAAAUUCUUGGAUUUAUUGAAGACUAACUAUUGCGAAAGCAUUUGCCAAGGAUGUUUUCAUUAAUCAAGAACGAAAGUUAGGGGAUCGAAGACGAUCAGAUACCGUCGUAGUCUUAACCAUAAACUAUGCCGACUAGGGAUCGGACGAAGUUAAUUUUAUAAUGACGCGUUCGGCGCCUUACGGGAAAC
Molecule: ribosomal RNA, 551 nt
Filed under: uncultured Glomeromycotina
Lineage: Eukaryota; Fungi; Glomeromycota
Description: SSU rRNA
Rfam family: Eukaryotic small subunit ribosomal RNA
Source: RNAcentral